UCCGCUGCUCGCGCCUCCCGCCCCGCCCGCGCGCGCCCGCCCCGGGAGGAGGGUGCGCGGCGGAGGCGCGGGGGGGGGGGGGGGGGGGGGGGAGUCGAGGAGGGGCCGCGCCCGGUCCUCGCCCGCAGCGGGCACCGCCGGGGGCCCCGGGAGGCCUUGUUGGUAUUCCGGGCACAGCAGAAGCCCUGACCUCCCCGCGGAACAGGGGAGCCCGGGAGCGCGGCGCGGCCGCCGCCCCCGGGCGGUCUCCCCGGACUGCGGGGCCGUAGGCGCCUUGCUCCCCCUCCUCCCUGUCCCCUCCUCUCCAGGUCCCCCGUACCCCCUCCCCCGGCCUGAUCCGGCGGCGAAGGGGUGGGCAGGGAAACGCGCUCUCUGGGACAGGUGCCAACUCCGAGACAAAAGACAUAAAAUAGGCGGCAACGGGGGAAGCGCGGCCGGCGCGCUCGGGCGGGGACGGAGGCGCCGCGGGGGCCGCAUCCUCGGUGCCGACCGGGGAAAGUUUGGGAAGUCGCCGCGGCGGCUUCGCAGCGGCGGGGGACACGCGGGCCGGGCCGCCCUCCGCGCCGCGCUCGCCCUCUCCGCGCCGCUGCUGAAUAAUUCAUGGCGCGGCCGCCGGCCAUUAGCAUGCACCGGGCGCGCGGCGCGUCUGUGCCCAGCCGUCGCCGCCGCAUUCGGCGCCCCGGCCGCGCUAGACGAGCGGCCGCGCAGAGGCCGGGCCCGCGCCGUCCCCGCGCUCGCCCGCCCGUCCGCCCGUCCGCCCACCCGGCGGCUCCCAUUGUGCCCCAGGCCCGCGCCGCUCCGCCGUCCUGUGACCGCCUGCGCCCCGCAGCGCGCCCGACGGCCGGCCGCUGGAAGUUCGGGCCCGCGGCGCACGCCCUGCCGCCCCGGGAUGCACGUGAACUUGGAGAAAGUCUCGGGGCGCGCCGGCGCAGACCUCCGCGGCAGGGCGUGGGCGCCCCUGGCCCCGCGCGCUUUCGUUUUCGUCUGGGACAAAGGUCCCUCGCGGCGCAGGUCGCGGACGUGGAGGCAGUGCCCUGCGGGCCACUCAGCGGGGAGGUCCGGUCGUUCAGUCAAGGGAAGCCGGAGCCUGGAGAAGACGAGCCGCGCGGUCGGAGGCGCGGUGCGGGACCAGGACAGUGGGGCCUGGCCGUGCGCUUCGCCCUGGCGGUCCAGGAGCUGUCUCGCCCUCCGAAGAGUUACGGGAGGUGGCACUGCUUUUGCUCUCUGCCCUUUCGACACGUGAAGGAGAGAAUCAUUCGGAACCCAGGACUCAGACCGGUGGCCGAGGGCCUGUGCAGCCGCGAGCACGACAGCGCAGCGCUGGCCGCGUCCGCGCGCGUUCCUCCGACAAGGGCAGAGCAGUCGACCAGCGCGCCCCAGUCUCGAUCGGGUUCAAGGCGACUCUUGAGGACGGUGGCUGACACACGGGCCCAGCCGGCAGCCCUGGGGAAUUUGUGGGGAGCAAGAAAGGGGUGA
Molecule: long non-coding RNA, 1476 nt
Filed under: Sus scrofa (pig)
Lineage: Eukaryota; Metazoa; Chordata; Mammalia; Artiodactyla; Suidae
Description: lncRNA (ENSSSCG00060022112.1)
Source: RNAcentral